Heterocephalus glaber (naked mole-rat) is the source of this 665-nucleotide long non-coding RNA. The record is from Ensembl. Lineage: Eukaryota; Metazoa; Chordata; Mammalia; Rodentia; Bathyergidae.
GUGGGAUAAAAAUAUUCCUUAAAUCAAUUAAAACAUCCUCUGUAGAAUUGGGAGGAAUAAAUAUAAGGACAAAAGCAGACAAUUAUGACUAUAAAGAGUGACAGAUGAUUUUAUUUUCUGUCUCCCUGUUCUAGUUAUCUCCCUGUUCUAGUUGAUGAAAUUUAGGAAGAUUCAUCUGGACUUGUUGUUCGGAGACCAGUACACCUGCAUAAACAGACUUGACCGCUGUCUGCAUACUGCACUCUGUAAAUUGACAUGCUAUGCCAAAACACUACUUGGAAAUUCACACCAUCAUCAGCAGUGGUGUCCAUUGGAAGCACAAUAUAGUUUAUAUGUCAAGAAUGCUGCCUCUUGAUGCUCAAAAAGCUGCAAUUCUUCAGGUAUCGAGGAAAAAGGAUCAAACUCAGUACCUUGCGCUUGGGAAGCAGGCAGCAGCACCACUGAGCUAAAUCCUCAGCCCCAUAGAUAUAUUUUUGAGCCCUUCAGAAUGGAUAAAAAAGAGGGAAGAAGACAGAGAAGACUUGGCUGUAGCCAUGGAAGCCAUGGGAAGACCUAUGCUCUGUUCUGUAUUCUGAUUCUCCCCAGCUACUUGGGGUAGAUCAUAUUCCUAUGUGCCAAGGACCCCAGAAUAUUUCCUCCACCCUCCCAACCCCUACCUCCACCCA